This 531-nucleotide ribosomal RNA is filed under the name uncultured bacterium. RNAcentral's name for it is "bacterial SSU rRNA". It matches the Rfam family "Bacterial small subunit ribosomal RNA", at positions 162 to 688 of the family's 1533-position model. The record is from RNAcentral.
GCUAAUACCGCAUACGCCCUACGGGGGAAAGGAGGGGACCUUCGGGCCUUUCGCGAUUGGAUGAACCCAGGUGGGAUUAGCUAGUUGGUGGGGUAAUGGCUCACCAAGGCGACGAUCCCUAGCUGGUCUGAGAGGAUGAUCAGCCACACUGGAACUGAGACACGGUCCAGACUCCUACGGGAGGCAGCAGUGGGGAAUAUUGCACAAUGGGGGAAAGCCUGAUCCAGCAAUGCCGCGUGCAGGAUGAAGGCCCUCGGGUUGUAAACUGCUUUUGUACGGAACGAAAAGACCUUUUCUAAUAAAGAGGGUCCAUGACGGUACCGUAAGAAUAAGCACCGGCUAACUACGUGCCAGCAGCCGCGGUAAUACGUAGGGUGCAAGCGUUAAUCGGAAUUACUGGGCGUAAAGCGUGCGCAGGCGGUUAUGUAAGACAGAGGUGAAAUCCCCGGGCUCAACCUGGGAACGGCCUUUGUGACUGCAUAGCUAGAGUACGGUAGAGGGGGAUGGAAUUCCGCGUGUAGCAGUGAAAUG